RNAcentral lists this long non-coding RNA (2054 nucleotides) under Zonotrichia albicollis (white-throated sparrow). RNAcentral describes it as "lncRNA (ENSZALG00000015845.1)". The record is from RNAcentral. Lineage: Eukaryota; Metazoa; Chordata; Aves; Passeriformes; Passerellidae.
CUGCCGACGAGGAAUGCCGGCCGGGGCUGCGGCUGCUCCCGCUGUCCCGGUAACGCCGGCCCGUCCCCACGGCAACGCCACCGGCCAUGGCGGGGCGAGGCGCUGCCGGCCCGGGCCGAGGGUCAGCUAAAGUGUAAAGAUACUGACUAUGAAAGAAAAAGUGAUCUGUAUAAAGACAUAGUCACAUUUUUAAGGGGUGAUCGCCUAGAUUUGUGGAAAAUAUGGCCAAACAGGAAUCUAGUAUGUCUAAAGAACCAGCACACAAGAAGAAUCAGCAUGUGGAAGGUGCUGAGAUUUCUGGCCAAUCACAGAGCCUUCAUAAUCUUACAGAAAAGACUGAAUGUGAGAAAGGGAAAACUUGUUCAACAGGACCCACUGACCAGAGGUCAAAACCACAUAUGAAGUGGAAGAGCAGUGGGAUUUCUGCUUCCCAAAGUGGUGACAAGGUUCGAAAAAAAUACUCUGAAGGAGAAGGAAAAAGUAGAGCUGGAUCUCUGACUGCAAAAAAGAAAGCCAGUGGCAAAUCUAAAUCGGUUAAAAUUCAAGAAACUUCAAAAUGUAAAGCAUCAAUCAGCCUUGAGGAUAGUGAAAGUUCCUCAGAGACUGAUGAGGAUGAACACCCUGUACGUCGUCAGGAAGGAGGCAGCGAUUUGUCAGCAGAAUACUGGGGAAUUCAAAAACUUGCAAAAUAUGUAAAACAUAGAUCAACCCUGAUGCUGUUAAACCCCAUUAUCCUCAUCUGGACCUGGAGAAGAGAUGAUUGGCAUUGAAGGUUUUCUUUAAACUACCUUCCUAUUGCCUUCUUCAGAGUAAACAGUUCCAGUUCCUUCAAUUUUUUUGUGGAAAUAGUAAUUUUGAGAUAUUUUGACAUCCUCUGGUCUUUAUCAACUUUCCCAGUAUUUUUUCUGAACUAGAAUACCUAGAAUGAAUGUAGCACUUAAAUUUGAACAGUGCCAAUCCAAAGAAGGAGUAGUUCUUAUAUCUUACAGGUUACAUAUCUGGUUAUAAUUUUCUCUGUAAAGUUUGCUUUUUUUUGUUUGGCAAUGCUGUGAUAGUGACAGAUAAUAUCAGCAUUGUGUUCUAUUGCUAACAACAGAUUUCUUCCUGCAGUUUUGCAAACUUACCAUGGCAUCAGCCAGUUCUCUCAGUACCACAGAGCAGAGUCCAUUGAGCUCAUCUAGUGUAAAACAUCUGUUAUCGAAGUACUUACUGGCUAGUUAUGUCCUUAGCACAGCCAGAGUGUUCACUAUGCUCUCAGAGACAUUAAGUAACCAUUACCAGAAUUUAGUAAAGAUUAAUGCAUAAAAAAGACCUCUUAAUGCUUUUGCUUUUUUGGUUCCAUUUGUUGAAAGGUUGCCAUUGACUAACAGGGUUUUUCCUCUUGAUUAUUACAGAAGUCAAACAAAAUGAUUGUUUGAACUUGUGUAUUCCUUGGUAACUGUACUUUGGGUUGUGUCUGUAUUUGCUUGUGUUUUUCUUUUAUUUUCAUUCUUUUUUGAUCUUGUCAGUAGUUCUGUAAUUCUCAGUUUUUCUCACUUGUUAGCUUCAGUAUUGUAAGAGAGACAUUACACAUUCAGUGCAAGAAGAUGUUUUACUGAUAGUGUAACAGUGAUACUGGUUUAUUUUCAUGGAUAUAUGUGUUAUACUGAUAUAUAGGAAGAAAGACACAUUUUAAAAUAAGUCUGUGUUUAAUUUCAAGCCUUAAAAUUGACUGUUGAUCUGCCAGUAGAAUCUAUAUUGCUUCCAACAUAUCAGAUUUCAAAUGGUAUAACAACAUGAUGCAGAUUUUAUGUCAACUUAAUGGAGAGGUAACUAUUUCCAUGCAUGUUAAAAUCUAUGCUGUAACUAGUACAAGUCUUACUGUAAUGAUAACUUCAAGAAACAAAAAAUAAUUGUUGAAACCAUCAGCAGUAUUUCUUAUUUUGUAGAAUUGAUGCUUCAGCACAUAUGAAAAAUAUUUUAUUGUGGUUUUACAUUAAAAACACUUAAAGUGGUGUGUUCAUUUUUAAAGCUGAAAAAAUAAAAUGCAUAUAUAUAUAAUAUACGGUUGUGUU